RNAcentral lists this transfer RNA (77 nucleotides) under Candidatus Uhrbacteria bacterium RIFOXYB2_FULL_41_10. RNAcentral's name for it is "tRNA-Ala". It matches the Rfam family "tRNA". From Rfam's summary of the family: Transfer RNA (tRNA) molecules are approximately 80 nucleotides in length. Their secondary structure includes four short double-helical elements and three loops (D, anti-codon, and T loops). Further hydrogen bonds mediate the characteristic L-shaped molecular structure. tRNAs have two regions of fundamental functional importance: the anti-codon, which is responsible for specific mRNA codon recognition, and the 3' end, to which the tRNAs corresponding amino acid is attached (by aminoacyl-tRNA synthetases). tRNAs cope with the degeneracy of the genetic code in two manners: having more than one tRNA (with a specific anti-codon) for a particular amino acid; and 'wobble' base-pairing, i.e. permitting non-standard base-pairing at the 3rd anti-codon position. The record is from RNAcentral. Lineage: Bacteria; Candidatus Uhriibacteriota. RNAcentral also lists the same sequence under 5 other names.
GGGCCUGUAGCUCAGCUGGCUAGAGCACCUGCUUUGCAAGCAGGGGGUCAAGGGUUCGAAUCCCUUCAGGUCCACCA